CAUUUGUAUUUGGAAUUGUGGCUGAGACAGCUACGUUAGCAACUCACCUGGAAUAAGGGUAAUAUCAAUGACUGGAGUAUUAUUGCCAUCUCAUAUUCAGAAAAAAAGGAGUGUGAGGGAGGUUCCAGCACCAAUGCCUUCAUAGGGGCUGAUCCAUGGUGGGUUUAUGGCUCUGCAAACAAUAAUGUAGAAUACAGAGUCCUUGAAGCCAGUGGAGUAGAAAAUGAACCAAAAAGGCAAGGCCCAGGUGCUGCUGUCUGGGGGGAGACCAAGGCAGGAACAAGAGUUUGUCCCCCAGUGGGAAAGCUGAGAAUCCAACGUGGGAUAGCAACACUCUGCAUACAGACAGGGGAAGAAGUCAUGCAUUCAAACAGGAGCUGCAGAAAUUUGGGCAGCUCUCUUCCUCUCUUAGGAUUUCUGUCUCUGGCAGCAUGCAGGCAGGGAGAAGGGGAUGUGGUGCUUCCUGAGCUGUGCUCAGCCUGGCCGACAAGGUAUUGGAAAAAUGUGAUUAGAUUCUCUCAAGUCUUCUCUAGGCUUGAACAUACCCUGUUCCUUCCAUUUCGUUUCAUCUGUCGAGCCCUACUACCCUCUCAUCAUAUUGAUGGCUCUUUUCUUUCCAAGUUUUUUGUGUCUUUCUUGAAGUGAGGAGUCCAGGCCUUGACCUGGUGCUACAGAUGUGCCCUAACAAGUGCCAAAUGGACUGGAGUAAUCACAGCUUUCCAUUGGCUGAUUGUCCUCUUGUUAAUGCAACCUGUGACAAGGUUUGCCUUCCCUGCUGCUGGAGCACCCUGCUGAAACACAUCCAGGUUGCCACCCAUCAGGACCACCCAAGCUGUGCCUUCAAGUGCUGGCUGGGAUUGCUGCAUCCCAGGUGCAGCAUUCAGCAUUUAUCUUUGUUAAACUUCACCCAGGCCUUGUUGGCUUGCUUGCCGUUCACACUGCCAAGGUGAGUCCAUGAGGAAGCUCCUUCUUCCAGCAGAUCUGCCUCCUCUCCCAGUGUGCUGUCAUUUGUGCUCUUUGUGCAUCAUAAUCUGGUAAAUGAAGGUGUAGCCUGGCAGGAGGGACUCUGGGAUGCUCACAGGUAAAGGCUCAGCUGUUUGAGUUGGGUCAGAGCUCUAUUAUGUGGUACUCAAGUGUGAGCUCAGUGCUCAGCUUCCCUGAGAACUGGGAGAAAGAGGAGAGCAUUUUGAUAAAAG
Molecule: non-coding RNA, 1196 nt
Organism: Zonotrichia albicollis (white-throated sparrow)
Lineage: Eukaryota; Metazoa; Chordata; Aves; Passeriformes; Passerellidae
Source: RefSeq, a predicted model, not a curated record